CUCAUUGCUCCCCAUGUUGGAAAGGUAUGCUGGAGUUGCCACUGAUAUACAUCUUCAAUUGCUGAUAAAAAUUUUCUGAGUUCCAUUUUCAGUUCAAUCUGCAUUUGCUUUGGCCAAGAAAAUUGCAUAAAAGGCCUAGUGCCGGUUUUUCCAUCAACAUGGGAAGCAAUAAAAUUUAUAAUAAUUGCAUCACAAGGCCCCUUUAACUUUUAUAAAAGCUACUUUUUCCCAUGUAUGGAUUGCUUGUAAGUAAUAACUACGUUACUGGCAAUUUUCUUGAUCUAUCUUCUCUGAAGUUUCUGAAAUAUAAUCGAUCUGCCUAAUGGGUUUGAUGUGGAAUUUCUUUUCUCCUCUUCAUGGAUCUGAUUAUGUUUACUGGUGGAAAGGGUUAUUUGAAUCACUUUGUGCACGACUUGAAUGUAGAGUGCUGUAGGUAUUUGGGAAUAAAUUAGUUGAAGUGUCUCUUUGUAUUUUUUUUCUUAAGAUGUGGAGUCUAGACUUAUGUUAGUUGCUUUGGAUCAGCGUCAUAUCUUUGGAGGGAUCUGGAUGGUUAGAUAGGCCUUUUGGAUAGAUUAGCAAAGCAAUUUUGGAAUGGAUUGGGAUAAGCCACUGAGCAUGAAGGUGAUGGUUUUCUUAGGGACGUGUCUAUGAUUACCCCUGUUGCUGACAGAAAAGAGGUCAUGGAUUUUCAACCUAUUAGCAUUCGGACCGAUGUCUAUAGGAUUCAUUCAGGUUCUAGGCUUGUAGCUGCCAAAGAAAGUUCUUUUUACUAGAUAUAUUUAUAAUCACAGGCAAAUUCUUGAAGAUACACAAAUUCUGGAUGGUUGGCUAAUGUUGACUGUGGUUCUUUUCUUUCAGUUAGUUUAGCCUAAUAUUUACAACAUGGUUGUUAGUUCUUGUGGUAGCAAAGAGUGCUAGUAAUUUAUUGUGUAGAAUCCUCUAAUUAUUCAGCUAGAAGUCAAAUGUUAGUGGAAAAGCUUUCCUUGCAUGCUGUUUGAAAAGGAAACAUCAGCAUGCAUGUUGGGACAUCAGCGGGCAUGGGAUUUUCUGUUUAUUUAUUUAGUUUUUUAUGGGAGCCUUUUCACAAUUUCUUUAAGGAAAUUCAUGGAUAUUUUCAUCUUCACAAGGAUGAUACAUGGUUAUGAAAGACUGAUCACAUCAUAGUUGUGACUCCUUGAGAAAUCAUAUGUUCAGAGAUUGUUGAGGUUAGAAAUUGAGUAAUUCACAAUGAAUCGCAUUCUUCAGCAGCAAUACAAAUUUUUUUUUUGUUUGUUUAU
RNAcentral lists this unclassified non-coding RNA (1277 nucleotides) under Hevea brasiliensis (rubber tree). Lineage: Eukaryota; Viridiplantae; Streptophyta; Magnoliopsida; Malpighiales; Euphorbiaceae. The record is from RNAcentral.